AGAGUUUGAUCCUGGCUCAGGAUGAACGCUAGCUACAGGCUUAACACAUGCAAGUCGAGGGGCAGCAUGAACUUAGCUUGCUAAGUUUGAUGGCGACCGGCGCACGGGUGAGUAACACGUAUCCAACCUGGCCGAUGACUCGGGGAUAGCCUUUCGAAAGAAAGAUUAAUACCCGAUGGCAUAGUUCUUCCGCAUGGUAAGAACUAUUAAAGAAUUUCGGUCAUCGGAUGGGGAUGCGUUCCAUUAGGUUGUUGGCGGGGUAACGGCCCACCAAGCCUUCGAUGGAUAGGGGUUCUGAGAGGAAGGUCCCCCACAUUGGAACUGAGACACGGUCCAAACUCCUACGGGAGGCAGCA
Molecule: ribosomal RNA, 356 nt
Filed under: uncultured bacterium
Lineage: Bacteria
Description: bacterial SSU rRNA
Rfam family: Bacterial small subunit ribosomal RNA
Source: RNAcentral